GGCCUUGUAGCUCAGCUGGAUUAGAGUAUUUGACUACGAAUCAAAGGGUCGGGAGUUCAAGUCUCUCCAAUGUCA
Molecule: transfer RNA, 75 nt
Filed under: Selenomonadaceae bacterium
Lineage: Bacteria; Bacillati; Bacillota; Negativicutes; Selenomonadales; Selenomonadaceae
Description: tRNA-Arg
Rfam family: tRNA
About the family: Transfer RNA (tRNA) molecules are approximately 80 nucleotides in length.
Source: RNAcentral